Non-coding RNA from Camellia sinensis, 299 nucleotides. The record is from RefSeq and is a predicted model, not a curated record. NCBI's taxonomy places the organism in Eukaryota, Viridiplantae, Streptophyta, Magnoliopsida, Ericales, Theaceae.
CCACCGUCGAUUGACAACAACAUAUAAAUCAGGCGAAUCUUGAUCUUCUCUUCUUCGGCAUUGUAGCUUCUCUUCGCUGGAGCAAUGUCACAAGCUCGAGUCUACGCAGACGUCAAUGUUCACCGCCCUCGAGAUUACUGGGAUUACGAGUCUCUCACCGUUCAAUGGGGCGAUCAAGAUGACUACGAGGUUGUCCGAAAAGUUGGGAGGGGAAAAUAAGUGAGGUCUUUGAAGGUAUAAAUGUCACCAACAAUGAAAAAUGCAUCAUCAAGAUCCUUAAACCCGUCAAGAAGAAGAAG